This 517-nucleotide ribosomal RNA is filed under the name Bacillus subtilis. RNAcentral describes it as "bacterial SSU rRNA". It matches the Rfam family "Bacterial small subunit ribosomal RNA", at positions 339 to 848 of the family's 1533-position model. The record is from RNAcentral. Lineage: Bacteria; Bacillati; Bacillota; Bacilli; Caryophanales; Bacillaceae.
CUACGGGAGGCAGCAGUAGGGAAUCUUCCGCAAUGGACGAAAGUCUGACGGAGCAACGCCGCGUGAGUGAUGAAGGUUUWCGGAUCGUAAAGCUCUGUUGUUAGGAAGAACAAGUACCGUWCGAAUAGGGSGUACCUUGACGGUACCUAACCAGAAAGCCACGGCUAACUACGUGCCAGCAGCCGCGGUAAUACGUAGGUGGCAAGCGUUGUCCGGAAUUAUUGGGCGUAAAGGGCUCGCAGGCGGUUUCUUAAGUCUGAUGUGAAAGCCCCCGGCUCAACCGGGGAGGGUCAUUGGAAACUGGGGAACUUGAGUGCAGAAGAGGAGAGUGGAAUUCCACGUGUAGCGGUGAAAUGCGUAGAGAUGUGGAGGAACACMAGUGGCGAAGGCGACUCUCUGGUCUGUAACUGACGCUGAGGAGCGAAAGCGUGGGGAGCGAACAGGAUUAGAUACCCUGGUAGUCMACGCCGUAAACGAUGAGUGCUAAGUGUUAGGGGGUUUCCGCCCCUUAGUGCUG